UUGACUUGGUAAUGAGAAUCGAUAUGAUUAUCACAACUGGUCGCGAGACUGGUCGAUAUUCUGAAAGCCCUUGGUUCGGACGCUCAGAUUAUCUCCUCAUCAGGCUAAUCACGGUUAUUUGACCCGGCUCUUGCCGGGUCUUUUUUUG
Molecule: small RNA, 148 nt
Filed under: Pseudomonas reinekei
Lineage: Bacteria; Pseudomonadati; Pseudomonadota; Gammaproteobacteria; Pseudomonadales; Pseudomonadaceae
Description: PrrF RNA
Rfam family: PrrF RNA
About the family: PrrF RNA is a small RNA involved in iron homeostasis and is found exclusively in Pseudomonas species. Their expression is induced under iron limitation by the ferric uptake regulator (Fur) and they act to negatively regulate several genes including sodB and sdh.
Source: RNAcentral